Molecule: ribosomal RNA, 439 nt
Filed under: uncultured bacterium
Lineage: Bacteria
Description: partial 16S ribosomal RNA
Rfam family: Bacterial small subunit ribosomal RNA
Source: RNAcentral
CUACGGGGCGCUCCAGUGAGGAAUAUUGCACAAUGGGGGGAACCCUGAUGCAGCAACGCCGCGUGGAGGAUGACGCAUUUCGGUGUGUAAACUCCUUUUAUAUGUCAAGAAAAUGACGGUAGCAUAUGAAUAAGCACCGGCUAACUCCGUGCCAGCAGCCGCGGUAAUACGGAGGGUGCAAGCGUUACCCGGAAUCACUGGGCGUAAAGGACGCGUAGGCGGGCUUGUAAGUCAGGUGUGAAAUCCUACAGCUUAACUGUAGAACUGCACUUGAAACUACGAGCCUAGAGUAUGGGAGGGGGAGAUGGGAUUAGUGGUGUAGGGGUAAAAUCCGUAGAUAUCACUAGGAAUACCUAAAGCGAAGGCGAUCUCCUGGAACAUAACUGACGCUAAGGCGUGAAAGCGUGGGGAGCAAACAGGAUUAGAUACCCGCGUAGUC